ACCCGAUGACUGAAACAUCUAAGUAGUCGGAGGAAAAGAAAACAAUAGUGAUUCCCCUAGUAGCGGCGAGCGAACGGGGAACAGCCCAAACCAAAGUUGUUUCGGCAAUUUUGGGGUUGUAGGACUACAAUGUGGACUCUGUAUUUUUAAUAGAACAGCAAUGGAAAUGCUACCAUAGAGGGUGAUAGUCCCGUAAAUGAAAAAAAUGCAGUACCUAGUAGUAUCCUGAGUAGGGCGGGACACGUGAAAUCCUGUCUGAACCUGCCGGGACCAUCCGGUAAGGCUAAAUACUCCUGAGAGACCGAUAGUGAACAAGUACCGUGAGGGAAAGGUGAAAAGCACCCUGAACAAGGGAGUGAAAUAGUACCUGAAACCGUUUGCUUACAAGCGGAGGGAGCCUUCGGGUGACCUCGUGCCUUUUGCAUAAUGAGCCUACGAGUUGCUCCUCAGUAGCAAGGUUAAUUCUGUUAACAGAAGCAGCCGAAGCGAAAGCAAGUCUUAACAGGGCGAACUAGUUACUGGGGGCAGACGCGAAGCUUAGUGAUCUACCCAUGGUCAGGUUGAAGCUCUGGUAACACAGAGUGGAGGACCGAACCCAUAUACGUUGAAAAGUGUUGGGAUGAACUGUGGGUAGGGGUGAAAGGCUAAUCAAACUAAGAAAUAGCUCGUACUCCCCGAAAUGCAUUUAGGUGCAGCGUCGUGGUUAGUGUUAUAGAGGUAGAGCUACUGAUAGGGCUAGGGGGCUUCACCGCCUACCAACCCCUGAUAAACUCCGAAUGCUAUAACAUAUACACGGCAGUGAGGGCAUGGGUGCUAAGGUCCAUGUCCGAGAGG
This 834-nucleotide ribosomal RNA is filed under the name uncultured bacterium. RNAcentral's name for it is "bacterial LSU rRNA". It matches the Rfam family "Bacterial large subunit ribosomal RNA", at positions 181 to 1018 of the family's 2925-position model. The record is from RNAcentral.